RNAcentral lists this ribosomal RNA (1565 nucleotides) under Escherichia coli. Its description in RNAcentral is "partial 23S ribosomal RNA". It matches the Rfam family "Bacterial large subunit ribosomal RNA", at positions 1291 to 2844 of the family's 2925-position model. The record is from RNAcentral. Lineage: Bacteria; Pseudomonadati; Pseudomonadota; Gammaproteobacteria; Enterobacterales; Enterobacteriaceae.
CGAAUGCUGACAUAAGUAACGAUAAAGCGGGUGAAAAGCCCGCUCGCCGGAAGACCAAGGGUUCCUGUCCAACGUUAAUCGGGGCAGGGUGAGUCGACCCCUAAGGCGAGGCCGAAAGGCGUAGUCGAUGGGAAACAGGUUAAUAUUCCUGUACUUGGUGUUACUGCGAAGGGGGGACGGAGAAGGCUAUGUUGGCCGGGCGACGGUUGUCCCGGUUUAAGCGUGUAGGCUGGUUUUCCAGGCAAAUCCGGAAAAUCAAGGCUGAGGCGUGAUGACGAGGCACUACGGUGCUGAAGCAACAAAUGCCCUGCUUCCAGGAAAAGCCUCUAAGCAUCAGGUAACAUCAAAUCGUACCCCAAACCGACACAGGUGGUCAGGUAGAGAAUACCAAGGCGCUUGAGAGAACUCGGGUGAAGGAACUAGGCAAAAUGGUGCCGUAACUUCGGGAGAAGGCACGCUGAUAUGUAGGUGAAGCGACUUGCUCGUGGAGCUGAAAUCAGUCGAAGAUACCAGCUGGCUGCAACUGUUUAUUAAAAACACAGCACUGUGCAAACACGAAAGUGGACGUAUACGGUGUGACGCCUGCCCGGUGCCGGAAGGUUAAUUGAUGGGGUUAGCGGUAACGCGAAGCUCUUGAUCGAAGCCCCGGUAAACGGCGGCCGUAACUAUAACGGUCCUAAGGUAGCGAAAUUCCUUGUCGGGUAAGUUCCGACCUGCACGAAUGGCGUAAUGAUGGCCAGGCUGUCUCCACCCGAGACUCAGUGAAAUUGAACUCGCUGUGAAGAUGCAGUGUACCCGCGGCAAGACGGAAAGACCCCGUGAACCUUUACUAUAGCUUGACACUGAACAUUGAGCCUUGAUGUGUAGGAUAGGUGGGAGGCUUUGAAGUGUGGACGCCAGUCUGCAUGGAGCCGACCUUGAAAUACCACCCUUUAAUGUUUGAUGUUCUAACGUUGGCCCCUGAUCGGGGUUGCGGACAGUGUCUGGUGGGUAGUUUGACUGGGGCGGUCUCCUCCUAAAGAGUAACGGAGGAGCACGAAGGUUGGCUAAUCCUGGUCGGACAUCAGGAGGUUAGUGCAAUGGCAUAAGCCAGCUUGACUGCGAGCGUGACGGCGCGAGCAGGUGCGAAAGCAGGUCAUAGUGAUCCGGUGGUUCUGAAUGGAAGGGCCAUCGCUCAACGGAUAAAAGGUACUCCGGGGAUAACAGGCUGAUACCGCCCAAGAGUUCAUAUCGACGGCGGUGUUUGGCACCUCGAUGUCGGCUCAUCACAUCCUGGGGCUGAAGUAGGUCCCAAGGGUAUGGCUGUUCGCCAUUUAAAGUGGUACGCGAGCUGGGUUUAGAACGUCGUGAGACAGUUCGGUCCCUAUCUGCCGUGGGCGCUGGAGAACUGAGGGGGGCUGCUCCUAGUACGAGAGGACCGGAGUGGACGCAUCACUGGUGUUCGGGUUGUCAUGCCAAUGGCACUGCCCGGUAGCUAAAUGCGGAAGAGAUAAGUGCUGAAAGCAUCUAAGCACGAAACUUGCCCCGAGAUGAGUUCUCCCUGAGACUUUAAGUCUCCUGAAGGA